CAAGCGGGAAGGGAUGGAGGGACGAUGACAUUUGUGAUCCUGGAUCCGGUCAUUUUUCCUGAGCACCAGUAAACUGAGUUCUGAAAUUCUAAUGCUUCCAAAUGGCUGAAGGAGUUUAAACUGCUUAAGCGGGAUCUGGAGAGCAUUAUUUGUCUUCAUUAUAAGUUGAAACCGGAAGAUUUCUCAAGCUUAUAUUGACUUGACCUUCUGUCUCUCCAUGCCUUGGGAAGGGUAGCCCUCCUUAGUGGCCGGCAACAUUGAGCACGGUCUCCAGGCACACGGGCCUCAGCAGUUGUGG
Molecule: long non-coding RNA, 298 nt
Organism: Eubalaena glacialis (North Atlantic right whale)
Lineage: Eukaryota; Metazoa; Chordata; Mammalia; Artiodactyla; Balaenidae
Exons: 4
Source: RefSeq, a predicted model, not a curated record